This 408-nucleotide long non-coding RNA is filed under the name Rosa chinensis. RNAcentral's name for it is "sRNA RchiOBHm_Chr2g0102531". The record is from RNAcentral. Lineage: Eukaryota; Viridiplantae; Streptophyta; Magnoliopsida; Rosales; Rosaceae.
CGGCGCAUCAGCGACUGGCCGCGAAGCCAAUACCCCGCGAGCAAAUUGGCGCGAAGACUGGCCGCGAGCGAGUGCCCGCGAGCGAAGCGAGUUCUAGCGAAGAAUACUUCGCGAAUGCUUUUCUAGCGCGCAUUGAUCAAGUGAAGCGAACGCUCGCAAGGAACAUUAUCGCAAGAAGCAGAGCUCGCUGAGUGCACUUGGCCUAAGCCUCGCCAGUGAGGUUUGAUCCGGCGAAGCACUUUGCAAGCUAUGCACAGUCUGGCGAAGUCGAUCUAAAAGCCAGCGAGUGGUCUUCAGCGGACAACCUUCUGCCAAUCACUGUGGCAGAAGCUGAGGUAGAACCAAGCGGAAGACUUUCAAGCGAAUUCCGGAAGAGUUUACUCUGGCAGCGAGAAGAAGACAAAAUCG